Molecule: non-coding RNA, 97 nt
Organism: Rhodocollybia butyracea
Lineage: Eukaryota; Fungi; Basidiomycota; Agaricomycetes; Agaricales; Omphalotaceae
Source: the annotation of a GenBank genome assembly
GGGCAUAUGGUGUAGGGGUUAUCACGUUCGCUUUGCAUGGUCAUCCACAUGUAAUAGUUUAUGCGAAAGGUCUCCGGUUCAAAUCCGGAUUUGUCCA